RNAcentral lists this ribosomal RNA (856 nucleotides) under uncultured bacterium. Its description in RNAcentral is "bacterial SSU rRNA". It matches the Rfam family "Bacterial small subunit ribosomal RNA", at positions 8 to 885 of the family's 1533-position model. The record is from RNAcentral.
AGAGUUUGAUCCUGGCUCAGGAUGAACGCUGGCGGCGUGCCUAACACAUGCAAGUCGAACGGGCGAUAUAGCAAUAUAUUGUUAGUGGCGAACGGGUGAGGAAUAUAUAGAUAAUCUACCCUUUAGACUGGGAUAAGCCUCCGAAAGGGGGUCUAAUACCGGAUACGCUCUUGAGAUCGCAUGAUUUUGAGAGGAAAGUUUUUUCGCUAAAGGAAGAGUUUAUAUCUGAUUAGCUAGUUGGUGGGGUAAUGGCCUACCAAGGCGACGAUCAGUAGCUGGUCUGAGAGGAUGGUCAGCCACACUGGGACUGAGACACGGCCCAGACUCCUACGGGAGGCAGCAGUGGGGAAUAUUGCGCAAUGGGCGAAAGCCUGACGCAGCGACGCCGCGUGAGCGAUGAAGUCUUUCGGGAUGUAAAGCUCUGUCGAGUGGGACGAUAAUGACGGUACCACUGGAGGAAGCCCCGGCUAACUACGUGCCAGCAGCCGCGGUAAUACGUAGGGGGCGAGCGUUAUCCGGAUUUAUUGGGCAUAAAGAGCGUGUAGGUUGUAUCUUAAGUCAGACGUUAAAUCCCCCGGCUCAACCGGGGUUCGCAUUUGAUACUGAGAUACUAGAGAUUGGGAGAGGAAAGCGGAACUCACGGUGUAGCGGUGAAAUGCGUAGAUAUCGUGAGGAACACCAGUUGCGAAGGCGGCUUUCUGGACCAAAUCUGACACUCAAGCGCGAAAGCGUGGGGAGCAAACGGGAUUAGAUACCCCGGUAGUCCACGCUGUAAACGGUGUUCACUAGGUGUGGGAGGUAUCGACCCCUUCCGUGCCACAGAUAAUUCGUUAAGUGAACCGCCUGGGAAGUACGA